CACAGGGCACGCACACGUUGGGGGCCCAUCCGCGGCCGGCCGACAGGACGCGGGAGCCCACGGCCGGCCCGGUCUGCAACGGGCGAGCCCGAGGCCAGGGCGUCCUGGAGCCGGACCGACCCGGGACCGGCGAGCUUGGGGCUGGAUGAGCCCGGGGCCCGGCGAACCUGGAGUCGGGCGAGCCCGGGACCGGACCGGCCAGGGAAUGGCGAGCCCACAGCCGGACGGGCCAGAGGCCGGCCGACCCCGCCCCAAGGGAGCCGGGAGCUGGCCGGGCUCCGGCCCGGCCACCCUGGGCCCCCGCCUCGCGCACCAAGCCCAUGGGCCGGUCCCGUUCAGAGCUCCGGUGGCCCGGCCUGGAUCCGGGUCUCCCCCCCAGGACAAAGCCGGGGCUCGUGGCCACCCGGAGACUUGGGUCAGCCGGGGCAGCGCAGCGGGGAGGGGUCCUUUGGAGCUGAGGCUCCGGAGGCUCCGACCCUCCCUUCCCCUGAGGUCCCGCCGUCGAGCGGGGGUCUCGGAGGGGAAUUUUUUUUUUUUUUUGUGUUGGACAUCAGAAUUAAUAACACUAUUUUUGAUUUUGUUUGGAGAUCUCGUUUUCUGCGGGGCAGGGAGAGAGGGUCCCCGGGGCCACCCCCUCCUGCCCAGAGCCGGGCGGAGGUAGGGGGACUGCUGGGAGGAGGGGGCGGAGGAGGGCUUGAGCUUCGGUCCGCUCAAAGCAGCGGCGGGGCCUGCCUCCAAGGCAGCCACUCCUGUUCCACCUGCCUGCCCGACUCUUCCCACUCCCGCCCGCCCCGCCACAGUUCCUUCCCGCGCACCGUCGGCUCCAUCCCGACCUCUCCUCCGUUGAGAAGCGGCGUGGCUCAGUGGAAAGAGCCCGGGCUUGGGAGUCAGAGGUCACAGGUUCCAAUCUCUGCCACUUGUCAGCUGUGUGACCAUGGGCCGGUCACUUCUCUGGGCCUCAGUUCCCUCAUCUGUCAUAUGGGGAUGAAGACUGGGAGCCUCACGUGGGGACAACCCGAUGACCCCCGUAUCUUCCCCAACGCUUAG
This 1047-nucleotide long non-coding RNA is filed under the name Ornithorhynchus anatinus (platypus). Its description in RNAcentral is "lncRNA (ENSOANG00000036661.1)". Lineage: Eukaryota; Metazoa; Chordata; Mammalia; Monotremata; Ornithorhynchidae. The record is from RNAcentral.